UAUCCUCAGAUGUCAGCGACAUAUGAGCAGUACCUGGCUGCACUUCUGGGAGAGAAGAUCAAUGGUCCAAGAUGCUAGAGACGAAGCUUUCCAAAUUCGAACCAAUUGCGACCGAUCCAGCAAAGUUUCCACCAUUACCUCCUGUAAGAUAUCCACCUGCCUCUCGUGCCCGCUUGUUCUUCAAUUUCAUAUAGUCUUCAAUGACGUGAUUCUCCUUUUUGCAAUAGCGAGAAAAAAACUUAUCUCCCUUACCACGUUUCUGCAUAGCGGCAAGGGCAACCGAAUCCACAGAUCGGGAAGCGCUGGAACCUUUCAUCUGUCGUUCAAGUUGGACGGCAUACUUGAAUGCGGUAUUGAUGUCAGGAAUAGGAUCCAUGAGCAACAGCUGCGAUCUGACAACAUCGAAGAAGUUGUUGAGGCCUGUAAUGAAUCUAAUGACGUAGUCCUGAUCCUGAUACAUUAGCAUCUGGCUGACCACGACGGACGUCCCGAUGCGAUUCACAGCACAUUAACAAUUAGGAAUCGGGCGAUACUGAAGAUACUCCUCCCAUAGAACUUUGAGGUUGGUAAAGUAUUGAGUGACUGAGAUGUCACCUUCAUCACAAGAAGCAAUCCGACUCUGGCGGUCGGCAAUGCGAAUUGCAUCUCCUUGGCUGAAGCGCAUACUUGAGCAGCGUCGUCGUAAGCGAGCAGAUUUUGAGUGAUGUAACUUUUCGAUCUAGCUUGAAAAUAUAUAAAAUUUCAUUUAAUUUUUCCAACCAAACUAAACCAUGUCAAUGCCAUAUGGAUGAUAUCAUGCUAGCUUUUCGAUAAGAUCAUCCAAUAACAUAACCCAAAAAAAAUGUAUGUAGAGAAACCA
Molecule: long non-coding RNA, 859 nt
Filed under: Linum usitatissimum (flax)
Lineage: Eukaryota; Viridiplantae; Streptophyta; Magnoliopsida; Malpighiales; Linaceae
Description: long non-coding RNA (LUSI_LNC002349)
Source: RNAcentral